RNAcentral lists this transfer RNA (73 nucleotides) under Entomoneis sp. RNAcentral's name for it is "tRNA-Gly". Lineage: Eukaryota; Bacillariophyta; Bacillariophyceae; Surirellales; Surirellaceae. The record is from RNAcentral.
UGCUAAUAAAGGGGUUCGAACCCUCAGCUUUAACUUUGGCAAAAUUACACUCUACCAUUUGAGUUACAUCAGC